Long non-coding RNA from Triticum aestivum (bread wheat), 2149 nucleotides. RefSeq lists it as uncharacterized. Lineage: Eukaryota; Viridiplantae; Streptophyta; Magnoliopsida; Poales; Poaceae. The transcript has 4 exons. The record is from RefSeq and is a predicted model, not a curated record.
UGAAGAUAUAUUACCCUCCCUUGUGUGGACGUACGUGGGCCUGCUUUCCAUCUCUCCUCGUAAUAAAUCUCGGACGUUUCGGAUUCUAGUCAAUCCAAAUCCAGACGCUCGCUGAGGAAAUCUCGUUCUCCACAACGCUCCUUCAAUUCUCUCCUUGAAAUCAGGUAAUCCUUCAAUGAUCCUCUCCCCAAACCAACGCAAUGGUUUAAUGGCCGCCGCUUCGCUCCAUGCACACCCAGACUCCUCCUCCAAUACUCUCCCCUCCCAUCCCCCCGUUCGUGUGGCUUUGAUCCAUUGGCUGCAGGCUCCUCUCGCGCGCCUCACGCGGAUCGCGCUCGCAUCCAACGCCUCCCCGCAUUCCCUGCUUCCUCAUCGCUCGUCAAGCCCUACGAGACUCCCUCUAUAAAUUGCCGCCCCUUUUCUCUUGCCUUUCGAUCGAUCUGUCGUGCCCCACACAUUGCUUCUCCUUCCUCCUUAUGGCAGCACACGGCGGGUACAUAUCCAGCGGCCGCUCGCUCCCUGUUUUUGACGCCCCGGCCAUGCAUACCUGUGGUUGCUUCGUAGCACUCGCCUUGAGAUACCAGCGUGGAGGCAGUGAUGCAGACAAGAAGCAUCAUAACAAAAAGAAAAUCAGAUGUUGUGUUGGCUAUGGGAGGAGAUAUGCUCCUGUCAAGGGAGAUGGGGAAGCCGUGUUGUGCAGAUUAGGUGUUUGAUUUAGAAGAUUCACACAUUUCAAUUCAAGCAAAGUUUGUGUGAUGCCUGGCCAUUGCUUACGAUGCGUCGAGUUGUACCAUGCCAUGUGGGCGAUGGCCGAAAUCGCAAUUGCAAACGAAAUAGUUGGAUGGACUAUACCAGAUCGAGCAGAUGGUGAACGACAGGCUGCUGGUGAUUUUUUUGAUGACCACGUGAACAAUAGGAACACAUAAAACCAUAUUUACUUGACUGUCCAUGAACACAUGCUAGCGAUUUCAUGAGUUUCUAAAUAUGGUAAGAACUAUGAGCCUAGCCAUGGGUAAGUGGAUAUAGGACUUAUAUAUGAUUUGUAAUCUGCAUGCUCAUUCUUUCACUAUGAAACCCAUAAAUCUGGUGGUAUUAUAUAAAUUUGCACCCAUAUACUUGCUUAGUACUGCAUUGGAAAUUAAUCAAUAAUAUUGCUUGGAGCAGGGACCAGUUUGGAAGAAAUGCAGCUUUCUUCGGAGUAAGGAGUAACUUUAAUGAAGGCAUUUUUUAUGUAUCACAAACUCGAAAGAGGUCCUCACAAGAGAUAUCUUGAAAAACUAUGAAAAUAGCUAGAAAAAUAAAGAACAGAGUAACAACAAAUAUGCAUGUCGCUGAAGUGAAUUUCUGCUUAUAACUCUCUUUGUUCUUCUAAAAAUAUUAGCGUAAAGCAGGAUUGCAUUUUACUCAGGCUAAAGAGGUUCAGAUUUGAGUGAAGCAUUAGAUUGAGCUGAUGAAAUCAAAUGCACUGGAGAUGUUCGCAAUAACAUUUUGAACUUACAAGUGAAUCCUCCAAGUACAACAUGUGGAUGUGAUUCAUUUAUAAGGGAUGCCACAAUGAGCAAAAUGAAUUGUGAGCAUGUCCAUCUUCAGGGAGAAACUAGCCAACCUGGACUCAUUGGUAUUUGUUAAAAAACAUUAUACACCUCUGUCAAUAAAAAUAUAGAAGAAAACAAUCUUUUUUGUGUAGUUCGUUCACUUCUUAGUUUGCGAUUUUUUUUGUUUUCCUUUUUGAUUGUUCUUCCCUUUUCAGGUGGGUCUUCUACCAGUUUGGCUACUGUUGCACUUGAAUCAUGGUCCGGCGACUGCUGGUCAUUGCCUGUGUUUUAUGUGUCUAACCAUGAGCCACAAAAGCGAAAUGUGCUUCUUCAUGUGCAUGGUCCUAAAAUUAUCGGCAAAUGCCAUUGUAUUCUUUAACAGCGUGGAUCAAGAAGAAGCGCAAUGUGCUACAGAAGUACAAUUCUCUUCCUAACACCCCGAAGGUCAUUUUGUUACUUAUUUAUUGUUAUUUUAUUUUAGGAAUGUUGUUUUACAUCAGAUUCUGAUGCUUUUAUUUUUGGAGCAAGGAUAGUUUACAAAGCUGUUUGCAUUGGUACAGUUGUAACGCUACAUCAUUUGUUAAUUUUCAUUGGUAUAUUGUAUUUCUGCAUUA